Molecule: long non-coding RNA, 345 nt
Filed under: Panax ginseng (ginseng)
Lineage: Eukaryota; Viridiplantae; Streptophyta; Magnoliopsida; Apiales; Araliaceae
Description: long non-coding RNA (PGIN_LNC004508)
Source: RNAcentral
AGAAGAGGACGGAGGCCCAAAUCAGAAAAAGCCCCAUCUAAUAGAUACAUGAACUCGGAACCGGACCUUUCCCAUUCAAAUUCCAAAUCGUUACUAACAUUUAAUGAGCCGACCUUGAACACCGUGUAACCGUCAGUAUAAAAGGUAACUUUACCAAUUUUGACAGUUUUACCUACCCGUUUGAAAUUCGAGCGCCUUCUGAACUCUCUGACUUUCUGAACUUUCUCUUUUCUUCUGCAACUUGUCAACAAUGGCUUCCCAAAAUUCUGAACAAGGCUCUCCCAUACUGGUAACCCCACUCAUAGUUGUUCCACUAAAUCCUACCACCGCUGCUCAUGAAGGAAC